Syngnathoides biaculeatus (alligator pipefish) is the source of this 2340-nucleotide long non-coding RNA. RefSeq lists it as uncharacterized. The record is from RefSeq and is a predicted model, not a curated record. The transcript has 4 exons. Lineage: Eukaryota; Metazoa; Chordata; Actinopteri; Syngnathiformes; Syngnathidae.
AAACAUACUUGUCCCCUUAAUAAGCCCUCAUAAAGUCAUAAAAGGUUUUUGAAGAAUAUUUGGGCAUGGUAAAAGUGUGUAUCCCCGGUACCAGCCUGAAGAGAUUUAAAUUAACAAAGAAUCAUGUUACACUGAGGCGAGAGAGACAAUGACGGUGGGAGUAAUGACGAUCUCGGCUUCAGGAGGACAAUGUGGAAGACUGCAAGCUGUCACCUCAUUGUGGUGGAGGGGUUUGCGUGUCCCAAUGAUCCUUAUAGCUAAGAUGUCUUGUGCUCAAGCAAAGUCGCACAUGGCAAACAGGUCGUAGACACAGGUCACCGGGGCACACCCUCUGGAACCAGGUCUGUAGGUGGGGCUCAAAGGUGGCUGGGGAUGCACCAAUGGGCCCUGGCUGCGUAUAUCUCGAAAAACCAAUGUGGCUUCCCACUGGCUCACCACCUGUAGGAGGGGCCAACGAGGUCGGUUGCUGUGUGAGCUGUGCAGCAGCCGAAGGGGACCCAGUCAAUCAGAACCCCAUCAACAGAAGGUGGCUUUGGGGAUGUGGAACAUCACCGCUCUGGCACAGAAAGAGCAUGAACUGGUGCGCAAGUUGUGAAAUUCCGACUGGAAAUACAGUAGUUAGGCUCAUUUCAACACAUAACGUGGGUCCUGGUGCCAGUGUUUUUGAGAGGGUUUGGACACGUGUGGGCAUACUGAUUGCAUCCUCACUCCAAGCCUAUACAUUAGGGUUCACCGUAAUUUGAAAUGGUUAAGUGCAUUUAAUCCAUAUUAAGGAGUCGUUGCUCAUCAUCAGUCUCGCUGAACUAACAGCUGAUUGAGCUGACUCACAGGAAGAAAGCAAACAAAGACCAUGAUAAUGAAAGCAUGCAUCCUAAAGCAUGUGACCUCAUGUCUCACUAUGAUACAAGUGUAAUACAGUAUAUCGCCAGUAAGCAUAGUAAAAUAUUUGUAUAAAACAGUACAGUAUACUGUACAUCAACUGAGGACAUACAUACAGUCUCUUAACAGUAAGUUUCAAAUGUGCGAGAUUUGCAAUACCCACAAUUCCUUUUUUUUUUUUUUUUUAUACCAUCCAUAUCAGGCCCAUCACAAUCAGUGGAUAUUUUAUUUUUACAUUUCAUAGCUCCUGACCAGCACUCCCGUGACCCUUGUGAUGAUAAGUGGCUUUGGAAAACGGAUGGAUAGAUAGUUGUUUUAAUAAUUUCCUUAUUUUCUGGUGAGAAACACUAAAGACAGGUUUAUUUUAAUAUACAUUCUGAUCAUUUCUUUCACCAUAAGAAGGACUGUCACCCACAAGACAAGGUCCAACGUUAAAGGUCAAGUGUCGUCAAACGGAUGGUUUUUGGUAUAUUAUUAAUGAAAAACCCACAUAUUUUACUAUGCUUACUGGCGAUAUACUGUAUUACACUUGUAUCAUAGUGAGACAUGAGGUCACAUGCUUUAGGAUAUCAUCUGAAUAUGGCUCGAAACAAUAAAGUAAUAUUGCCCUGAGGGCUCGAAACAAUAGUGUAAUAUUGUCCCGGUAACUUCACUCGGUUGUGUGGUGUUGUCCUUUUCGAAAAGAGCUUCGGUGUCAGAAGGGGCGUCGUGAAAAUGUGAAUAUCUCUGUUGUUCGGCUUCCAUAGUAGCAGGCACUGCGCAUUUUCAACGGCGGAAGUGACGUUGACGUCAAGGACAGAUGACGCGACUAAUAUGGCGACCACUUGGAUGUCGGGCGACACUCAAUUGCGCAACUUUGUGCAUGGAUGACGCACUCUCCGCUCACUUUUUUUUUCGUAUAGACAUUGAAGUGAAUACCGUUAUAUGUAUUUUUCAUUACAAUAUCUAUUUUAGAAUGUUUAUAGGGAUGUCAGUCCCACUUUAAAAAAAUUAUAUAUGCUAUUCCCUACGAAAGUUAUUUCUUUUAGUUCCUUGUCAUUGAUAAGAAAUUAGUUGGGAUAACUUGCCUUUGCAGUCCAACUCUUUAUUAUAGCAUAUAAUGUAGUGAUGCACCAAAGUUUCGGCCACUGAAACGUUUGGGCCAAAAAUGGAACAAAAGUGCUUUUUGGGUUUAGGACCAAAAUCUUUUUAUCACCAAUAUAAAACCUCCAAAAUAGAAUGUUGUUAUGAAAAAGGAAGGAUGCUGUUAUGUACAGUAUACUGUUAAAAAAAUACAAUAAUAAAGCCACAUCCACAUUUUGCAGUUUACGCAGUUCAGGUACAAAGUGGAAGGCUCCUUGCUUGCUAUUAUACCCAACUCACCAGCUACCAAUGAGGUACAGGCAAGGCUAACAUGCACUUUAGAACAGGAAAUGGGGAAUGAAUUAGAUGGUUAUUGAUAAUCAUUUACAUCACUUGGGG